Orcinus orca (killer whale) is the source of this 10754-nucleotide long non-coding RNA. RefSeq lists it as uncharacterized. Lineage: Eukaryota; Metazoa; Chordata; Mammalia; Artiodactyla; Delphinidae. The transcript has 6 exons. The record is from RefSeq and is a predicted model, not a curated record.
CAGGCCAGGCCAUUCGCUCCGCAUUGCCUCCCCAGCGGUACUCGGACCUCCACUCGCUUCGCUGGCGUUAGCACAUUCUGUUUUGACCACACCCGGAAGACUUGGGAAGUGUUCCUCAUCCUUAGAGCUGUCUCUUCAAAACCACCUGAAUUAACAACCUAAAAAUGCUUUUGAUGCUGUGGAACUUGCCCACAAUAAAAACAAAAGAAAGAAAAGAAAUCCAGAUAGACUCAGGAAAAGACCUCACUGAAGUCUGACUUCAGCACUACGAGUUCUCAGAUAUCAACCAAGUACUUAAUAAUGCGGGGAGGCUGUUGUUUUGACUUUGGUGGUGGGGAAAGAGCAUUUUGGAGGAGAAUGAUGUGAAUUAGGCUUUGAAGACCAGAAUUGUUCAGCUGCCUAGAAAAGGAACAAGAAGAAACAGAUGGUUGGCCUAACCAGGUCUGGAGAUUGACACGACAGUUGUGAACCAAGAUGAGUGAAAUAAGUCAUUAGGUUGCAGGUCCGGCGAGCACAGUGGGAAGAACUGUUCCUGAGAUUCCUCAGGUAGGUGGCUUGGGACAUCCUGAGAGGCCAGGAAGGCUGGCAAAUGGAGAAAGAGCAAAGGGUAUGGGCCUGAAAAUGUGAAGGAUGGGUCAGAAAAAAGUGAGGUAAUAGGAGAGAGAGACAGAUAGUGGUCAGAGGAAACUUUUCAAGUUUGAGAGUCUCAAAUGUGGAGACGUUACGGAUGAUGGUGAAAACUAAGGUGUGGCGACACUAAGGGAGAUCUGAGGCAGAAUGAGAUGGAGCCACAGAGCUCAAGGCAAAGGAACUGAUAGGUCAGAGAGUUAGAAAGAUUAUCAACAUGGAAUUUGAAUCCCAAGGGAAAAUACACUGGCUAUAGGUGAGAUUUUUUUAUACGACUAAAAACACAUUAAUGUGAUAUUAAAACACAUGAGCAGCUAGAAAAAUACUUGGAAGGAAGACGUUCAACCUUGUUCAUUCAAUAAAUACAUAUUGAGCUGUGGGUUUAAUGUGAAACUAUAUGCAAUAAACAUGAUGUGGUGGAUUCCUCCCAAGCAAUGGUUUCAUUAAGAUUAAGAUUUUGCUUCCCACUGUCAAAGAGUAUAACUUAGCACCUGAUGACCUCAUACUAAAAAUGGAAAAUACAGGGCUUCCCUGGUGGCGCAGUGGUUGAGAGUCUGCCUGCUGAUGCAGGGGACAUGGGUUCGUGCCACGGUCCGGGAAGAUCCAACACGCCGCGGAGUGGCUGGGCCCGUGAGCCAUGGCCGCUGCGCGUCCGGAGACUGUGCUCCGCAACGGGAGAGGCCACAACAGUGAGAGGCCCGUGUACCGCAAAAAAAAAAAAAAAGGAAAAUACAAACUUGGAAGAAAGAAAACGGUAGAAAAGCUAAACCUUGUCACAUCACCAUAUACUUAAAUGAAUGGUUGAACCAAGUAAAUAAUAGUGAUUCCCAGGAAAUUACUCAUAUUCAGCAUGAAACUACUAACCACUCCCUAAUGUUUUGGCUUAGAGUAUAAACUCACACUCAGAGACUCUUUCUACAGUCGAUGAACCCAGACCUGCAGCCUCUCUCACUCGGUUGUCAUAAUACUAGCUUGGUGGUGGGAUAUCUGUAGUCAUGAAUGCAGGAACCACAGUAAACUGGGCUCACUGGUCCUUUGUAGCCCAGAUGGGGACACAGCCACAAUUUUCUAAAGUUCUAAAAAUAGGUUGUUUUUUUAGAGACAAGUACUCUAUUAUAUACACUCAUCAGGAGAUUGUGCAGAGUUUGGGAUGUUGUAAUCAUCCAACUCAAAGAGGAAUUGUUAGCCAGAUGUUGAAAAAUAUAUGCAAAUUGGCUCUGGGAGUACACGUUAUCUCUAAAUCUUCUCAAAGAAUGUUGACCUAGUCCUAAAGCAUUUAUUUACACAUUCUUUUCAAACCAUCUUUAAACUCAGAAGCCCCAUUUUGCAUCACAUAGGUUAGUCCAAUAUAGACAGUGUUGAUAAUUAUUGAAGCUGUGUGAUGGAUAUGAAGAUUUACUAUACUCUUCUCCCUACUUUAAAUAUGUUUGAAACUUUCCAUACUAACAAGUUUUGUUUUAAAGGCAAAAAAGGAGAUAAGUCCUUUUAUUGUGCUUGUAUAGCAAUGAGACCCCUUUCUUGCUUUUCCCCUUCCUGCUGACAUACACUGUAACCUAUCAGAAAUUGCUUAUCCCAGUUCCAUUUUUUCCAGAACAAAUUAGAAUGUACUAACGUUAAGAUUUGAAUGGUAUAACAUCAUUAUUAUUUCAAAUAUUCCUUCACGCUUCAUAAAACUCUUCCAUAUGCUGUCAUUUCAUUUACUUCCAUGGAACUUCUGUACUCACAGGCAUUCUUCCAAAUAGUUGCUAUCCCAAAAGAAAACAGGCUUUAAUCAUUCAGUAACCAAUCUUCAUCGAACAUCUAGUAUGUGCCAUUAUUUUAACAUUAUUUUUAAAUUCCAUGGCUAAAUAUCUUUGUAAGGAAAAAAAUAACACCCAACAGAAAACUUUUAUUUGCUCCAUAAACAUUUAUUAAGCACCCACUAUCUGCAAGGUAGAUACUCCAGUCUUGGCUACCCAUCAUGCUAGGAACUUCUGCAUUGAAGCAAGAAUGGGUGAUGGUUAGUGAGAUGGCCCUUGCAAUGAGGGAAGAGGAGCUUUUUAAAGAAUGCAUAUCUCCAGGCUCUGCACACAGAGAAGUUUAGGUCUGGGUGGUUCCAAAAGGGUUGGGAACCCCUGGUCUAACUCACCAAGUCUGACGGGAACCAGAGCAGACUCUAGUCUUACUGAAGCUGGCACUGCCAUCUAUGGAGUGUAGUUGGUGGGUGUAAAGCAGGCAGGAUACGUGUUUGCAGCUUCAUCCUGAUGCUGAAAAGGAUAAGAAAACAGGGUGCAAGCCUAGAGAAAAACUCAGCAGGAUUUGGACAAGUGGUCAGGACUCGGAGCUGACUGGGCUUAGGUUCAAGGCUGGGCUUUGGUCCUGGUGGAAUUCUCAGCAGGGACCCAGAAAGGAUUGAUUGUAUAUUCAUUCGGUCCCUUUUGUGUAACAGGCACUGUGCAAAGCUCUUUACUUACAAAAUCUCAUUUUAUCCUCAUGACAGCCCUGUGAGACAAGUUGACUUGCCCAAGGUCAGAUGGCCAGUAAGUGGAUGAGUUGUAUUUGAACCUAAGUCUAUUCUGAAUGCAAAACCUAUACUCUUUCUGUCUCUCUGUGGUAUCUACAGGGACUGGGGCAAAGGCUUGCCAGGCUUACACAGGGGUGAUAGCUAGGAAGAUCAUUUGACAGUAAAGGACUCUGCUCACAUGAGGCAUCAGGCAGCUGACUAUUUCCAUCCUCACUCCACUCACUAGUGGUUAAAAUAAAUUCCCAGUGACUCGUGACUGACAGGGUUCUCAUUAUUCCCAGAUUAUGUCCUAGGCAGCGUAGUAAAAUUGGCAAAUUUGUCUUUGUGUCCCCAGCAUCCCCAAUUUUACCUGUUUCUUCCCCAAUCCCUGAGAAGGGGCCUACUGUCCUCAUGAUCUUCACCUCCAUUCACAUCAAGUAGUACAUGUCUGAUGACAGAUGAAAGCAUUUUGCUUUUGGGACCUACUGCUUUCGAACAAAGAGCAGGCAGUUAGAGGAAUGACGUUGAUAUCAGAGGCAGGAGCUAGGAAGGAUUGGGGAGAUAUGCUGAAUUCCCUGAAAUCACACUUGUAGAUAGGUGGUAGCACAUUCAAAUGGAUCCUAUUGCUGCCUGAAGAGGAAUGAUAACAUUUCAGGGGAUGGGAUGAUCAAGAGUCCUGCUGCUCUAGAGAUUCUCUUGAAGUACUUUUCAUCCCACAGUACCAGCCUAUCUGUACAAAGUCCUCAUUUUCACAGGAAACAAUACAUAUGUGUGUGCUUCUCACAGAGAUGGUAAUCAGUGGGCAUAAUCCAUCAAAGCCUCUUUCUUUUGAUAACUGAAGUUAUAGACCCAGACACUGCUUUAUCAAUAUUCCAAAUACCAGUACUGCCCUCCCCUACAAUCAACAGAGUAAACAAGAGUGGCUCUCCUAGUACUCACCCACCACCCUUCAAUCAUUGUUAAUGAGAACCCGAAAUUCUGGAAUUUUCCUCGACUUAUCAAAAUCACUUGUAAGUCCAAAAAUGUUCUGGCAAAUAUUUUUGAUUAGUGGCUAUGAAAUAUGGAUAGAUGGAUGGAUGGGUGGAUGGAUGGAUGGAUAGAUACAUAGAUUGAUUUAGAUUUAAAGGUGGUAGCUUGGGGCUUCCCUGGUGGCACAGUGGUUAAGAACUCCUGCCAAUACAGGGGAUACGGGCUUAAGCCCUGGUCCGGGAAGAUCGCACAUGCUGUGGAGCAACUAAGCCCAUGCGCCACAACUACUGAAGCCCGCGUGCUAAGAGCCCGUGCUCCGCAACAAGAGAAGCCCCCGCUCACCGCAACUAGAGAAAGCUCGGGCACGGCAACAAAGACCCAAUGCAGCCAAAAAUAAAUAAAUAAAAAUAAAUAAACUUUAUAAAGGUGGUAGUUUGCUGAAAGAAUAUAGUAAUGACCUGUAAAUGUGAUAACAUUAAGCUGGAUGACAAUUUUCUGUAUCCUGUAUAUAAAACAGAACAGUAAUUUUAUAAGGCAACAUAGUAAAGUAGACCAAAGGUUUUUUUUUUAGGUUUUUGACCGCACCCCAUGGCAUGUGGGAUCUUAGUUCCCCAACCAGGGAUCAGACCCGUUCCUCCUGCAUUGGAAGUACAGACUCUUAACCACUGGACCGACCGCCGGGGAAGUCCUUUCAUUGCUUAUUAACUGUGCAACUUUUGUAAAUUACUUGACUUCUCUGAGCCUUGAUUUCUGCCAUGAUAAAAUCAAAACGGUAAAACUUGCCUGAAGAAGUUUUUUGUGAGGACUGCGUGUAAUAUAUGAUAUGUUAAGUCCCUAACAAUGUCUGGGACGUAGGGACUCAAACUUUUUUGUUGAAUGAAUAAAUAGUAGAUGCUCAAUACAGGCCAUUUUUGUUAUUUUUUUACAGUAUUUGUCAAACUUCAUAGGCUUUAAACCUGUCUAUACCAUGUUCCUCAUUAAUGCUUUCAUAUUUUAAUUACAAAAGCAAACACAUCUGUUGCAAAAAUUCAGAUUAUAUAAGUGUACAAAUAAAAAGUGAAAGGCCCUACUUCCAUACCUUAGAGGUAACUACUGUUAAGAGUUUGAUAUAUAUUUUUUCAGACCUUUUUCUAGGCCUAUACAAAUAUAUGAUAUAAUUUCUAAACAUGAGUUUAUACUAUACACAGUGUUCUGUAACUUGAGUUUUUUAUAUAAGAUCUUGGACAUCUUUCCAGACGCAGUAUUCUAUUUGUAUGGGUUAGACUGUAAUUUAUUAUACAAAUCUCCUAUAAAUAGACAAUUAUGUUAUUUACUAUUUUUUGCUGUUUCAACCAGUGUUGCAAUAAACAUCCUUAUGAAAAAUUUUUUUGGCAUAUAUGCUAGUUAUUUUUCUAGGAUAAAUUUCUAGAAGAGGAAUAGCCUAGUCAAAGGACACACACACACACACACAUAUAUAUAUAUAUAUAUAUAUAUAUAUUUUUUAACGGUUAAGCUAUAGGUACAGGCUCUUUUAAUUUAUUUUAUUUUUAUUUAUUUUUGGCUGUGUUGGGGCUUCGUUGCUGUGCGUGGGCUUUCUCUAGUUGCAGAGAGCAGGGGCUACGCUUCGUUGCAGUGCGCGGGCUUCUCAUUGCUGUGGCUUCUCUUGUUGUGGAGCACGGGCUCUAGGCACACGGACUUCAGAAGUUGUGGCUUGCAGGCUCUAGAGCGCAGGCUCAGUAGUUGUGGUGCACGGGCUUAGUUGCUCCGCGGCAUGUGGGAUCUUCCCGGACCAGGGCUCGAACCCGUGUCCCCUGCAUUGGCAGACAGAUUCUUAACCACUGCGCCACCAGGGAAGCCCCAGGACACACAUAUUAACUAGACUCUGCCAGCUUGCACGAAGAGUGUUAUGGGCUGAAUCAUGUCCCCUCAAAAUUCACGUUGAAGCCCUAAUUCCCAGUACCUCCGAGUGUGACUGUAUUUGGGCCUUUAAAGGGGGUGAUUAAGUUAAAAUGAGGCCAUUAGGGUGGGCCCUAAUCCAGUCUGACUGGUAUCCUUAUCAGAAGAGGAAAUUUGGACAAAGAGACACCAGGGAUGGGCAUGCACAGAGGAAAGACCAUGUGAGGACACAGAGAGAAGGCACUCAUCUACAAGCCAAGGGGAGAGGCCUUUGGAGAAGGCAGUCACCUUGAUCUUAGGCUUCAAGCCUCAGAACUAUAAGAAAAUAAAUUUCUGUUGUUUAAACUACCCAGACUGUGGUAUUUAUUACAGCAGCCUGAGCAAACUAAUACAGAGGGGUUUUUCUCAAGGUCCUUGUGGCCCUUCUGCUUUGAGCUGAGGUCCGUGUGGUAUAAGCAAGCUGUUCAAGCCACUUGUUCCCUACUUUCUUCAUCCCAUGUUCUCUCUGUCCUUUCCUUUAUUGUCCUCACUCUCCUUGCUCAUUGCAGUUUAUUUAAUAAGGGGUGUUUAUUAUGACCCUUGGGGGAUUUGAAAGAUGUUUGUGAACAAUUUGUUUUUUGAUGUGCCUCAUUCUGGUUGGUAUGGCAUUAAAAUAACGGGAAGAAGAUAUUAAGGUAUUUUCCCAUUGACUUAUCCUCCAUUUUCAUUAUGUGAACUAUGAAACAAAGAAAAUCUUUUCCACAUAAUUUUGCUUACAUUUCUUCCACUGAUUGGCUAGGUCGAGUUCACACACCCCUUGAGACCUCAUUUUAACACAUUCCCUCUCCCUGACCAUCCCUUCCCCCUCAGCCUUCAUUAUAUCUGAUGUGUGUGUUUUUCUGGGAGAAAGUAGGGAGGAAACUUGAAAUUACCCCAGGAUCCACAUUCUGCUCUGCAGCCAUCCUCAGUAACUUUCGCAUAUUUGACAUUCUUUCAAUUUCCUGAAGAAGAGUGACUCACCCAAAAUUACACAGCCACAGUAGAUGGAAUAAUUGGUCUCAAGGUCUCCUAAUAUUUCUUUCUUCCUUCAGCAAUUCCUUUUACUUGUAAAGUGAGAGAUUGCUUUACUGGAGACUGCUGUGUGCUAGAGACAAAAGGAAAGGAAGAGGGAAAGUACCUGCCAUUGACUGAAAAAAGGGUUAUACUUGUAUGAUCUCUUCAUUCUCUGCAUUUUCUUUUCAGAGUACACGUUGGUUGCUUAUGUACCACACCACACCGUAGGUUUGGGGAGCUUGUGCUUACUUUUCCCCAACAGGGUAGUAAUAUAUCUUAGGAGGCUAAGAGUCAGGCCUGCCUCUACUUCGAAGUGAUCAGGAGGGAGAGAGAAGGGUGAGAGGCAGCAAGGAUGAAACAAGAGGAGUAAAGGUGGACCUUCUUCUCUCUGCGCAACCUUGCUAACAGAAGUGUCAGCUAAGCCUUUCACUUGAGUGCCAGGACGAUGCCAAAAGCAAACAAACACAGAAAUCUCAUGGGGAUGUUAAAAAGAAAAACAGAUAAAUCUAUCUGGGGGUGAAGGGGAGAUUGUAUAGGAAAGUGUUUUUUGGUUUUGUUUUUUGCAUGACUUUUUUCUUAAUGUGUUUGUAUGUGUGUAAUGGAAGCUGAGGAUAAAUUAAAGAGCAAAUAUGAAGAUAAUAAUCCUUCCUAUUUGCAAUACUCAAGUUCCAUUUUUGGGCCCUUUUUUGGUGUUGCUUUUUCUACUCUAUUCAGUUUCCUAUGACACAUAUGAACCCUAUAAACAUAUGCAAUUAUUUCCAAAACAUUUUGGUACUUUCCAAAAAAUUUGGGGUGUCUACUAGGUGCAAGGCAUUAUGCUGGGUCUGCACAAAAUAAAAAGAUAGCUAAGCUUCUGUCUAUCCUUAGGGUCUGCAGUCUCAGUGUUCCCGGUGAAUCUGAGGUUCUUGAUGUCUCGUCGCAGUCAGAAUUCAGUGAGAGACAAAGUGAUAGGUAAGAAGUGGAUUUAUUUAGAGAGAAACACACUCCACAGACAGAGUAUGGGCCAUCUCAGAAGGUGAGAUGCCCCGAAAUAUGGCGUGGUUAGUUUUUAUGGGCUGGGUAAUUUCAUAGGCUAAUUAGUGGAAGGAUUAUUCCAAUUAUUUCAGGGAAGGGGUGGAGAUUUCCAGGAAUUGGGCCACCACCCACUUUUUGGCCUUUUAUGGUUAGCCUUAGAACUGUCAUGGCAUUGCUGGGACUGACAUUUAGCAUGCUAAUGUAUUACAAUGAGAGUAUGAUAAGGCUCAAGGUCCAUUAGAAGUCGAAUAUUCUGUCAUCUUGGACCAGGUUGGUUUUAACCAGUUUUUGUCAUGUCCUAUGCCUAUGUCAUUUUUUUCAAGGUUGUGCCCUGCCCACUUCCUUCCUGUUUCAAUAGCAAAAGUAAUUCAUGGUCAUGUUAGCUUAUAGAUUUGUAAAAGCAGCUAAGUUUUAGAAGAGAAAACAUUUUAAUUGUCUAAUGCUCAUUGACAGCAUCUAAAUGUCACUGACGUUUAGCUCAAACCAAAAACAUUUUGAAAUAAUAAGCAAUUAAAUGAACACUUUUAUCAGAAACAAGGAUUUCAGAAUAGUUUGCUCACUUGUAUGUUGUAAAUUGUAAAAGGAAAAGGGUUACACCCACACCAUAUGUGAACUAUAGGACUAUAAAGUGAUAUAAUAUCAUCUGCAAUACAUCUGCUUCAUUUAAAUGCAAAUUCUAACAUUUAUAGUUUCAGUAGUUGGUCUCGUGGCCUUAUACAUAACAUGAAAAAAAUAAUAUUUGAGGAAGUUUUUGAAUUUGUAGGUGGCUGAUGUAGUUAUAAGAUUUCUUCCAAUUCUUUUUUUUUUUUUUAAGAAGAUGUUGGGGGUAGGAGUUUAUUAAUUUAUUUAUUUUUGCUGUGUUGGGUCGUCGUUUCCGUGCGAAGGCUCUCUCUAGUUGUGGCAAGUGGGGGCCACUCUUCAUCGUGGUGCGCGGGCUUCUCACUAUCGCGGCCUCUCUUGUUGUGGAGCACAAGCUCCAGACACGCAGGCUCAGUAGUUGUGGCUCACGGGCCUAGUUGCUCCGCGGCAUGUGGGAUCUUCCCAGACCAGGGCUCGAACCCGUGUUCCCUGCAUUAGCAGGCAGAUUCUCAACCACUGAGCCACCAGGGAAGCCCUCUUCCAAUUCUUAAGAUAUUAGAUUCUAUUAAGACACAAAUGUAGCCUUUUGAAAUAAGAAUUCCAGGAGGAAAUACCUAUAGUUCAACAUUAUUGUUUAAUGCUGUGCUGCUACCAUUUUGGAUACUAAAGAUGGCCAUUAUUUUUGUUUCAUAAAAUGUGUUUAUCUGUUUAUAGUGGUUGACUGGCAAGAUGUUAUCAUUUACUGCCAAAUUUCUAGAAGCAAAUCAAGGGAAAAGAGUAUCAGCUAAAAAGUAAAUAAAUAAAUGAAUCUCAAUCACAAUUCCUUCCAUGAAAUGGAUCACAUCAUGGGUAACAAUCACAAACAUUAUCAUUUGAUCUUUUAUUUUUUUAUCAGACGCAUAAGCAUCUCUCUAAAAUAGGUACCAAUCAAUGUCAAAUGCUUAAAGGUAUAGUACAAGAAAGAGUCUUUAAGUUGUUGGGAGCCUCAUAAAGGGAGUAAUGACACAGUAUUUUAACUAUUACUAAGCAUUUGUCCUCCGCCAGUAAACCUUCAUGGUAAUCCAAUGCAAUUGCUUCACAUAAAGCAAGCACAUUAGUCUGGCACAGGCAUUUGCUUCCUCUCUGAAUUUCCUGUUUUCCUGGAUAUGAGAUCUCUGAGGUCCACCUUCAGGAACUAGUCACUCACUCAGAGGUCUGCUAGGAAAAGUGGUUUUGAGAGGGUAAGUUCCUAUUGCUUAAAGUGACAGCCUUGUUCUAAUGUAACACGUUCCAUCUACACAAACUUAAGUACAAUUCAAUUCACUUUCACAAACCUCUUAUAUAGCAGGAGGCAUUCAGUCAUUGCCAAAGUCAAUAUAUUAAGUCUGGUUGUUGAAGGCAGCUGGUUUCCCAUAAAACCAUGUGUCCCUAUUUCCUAUUUCAGUCAGUUUAUUAUUCAGUGGUAGGAAAUGCCAAAGGGAGUUGGCAACAAUGGCAUUUUCCACUUAUAAUAGAUUUUUUUUCAUGUACUUUGGAUUUUUCUCCAAUAUUGUGCUCAGUGGUAUUUCUACCAUGUAAUCAGAUUGGAUGGCUCACAACGUGGUGAUGACUGGCAAGGAAACCUCAAGGUAAAUGACUUCCUCUAUUCCCUCAAUCCCAGAGGCAACUGUGCUGCCAAUCUUAUUACCAGGGACAUGGAGUCCUCAGAGGAAAGUGGGACUCCCAUCUGCAUUAGAAGUAAGUUUCCAGGAGAGCCCUGGAAUUUGAAAAUUCCUUGAGGCUCCAGUAUUUAACUGAGAUAAAUGAGCCCUCCCGGGGCAGUCUGGAUUCAGACAUCCUAUUUCUGUGCUGCUUUCUCCCCCACUCCCUCCUUGGCUGGUGAGAAAAAGAAAAACUCCUCCUUCUAAGUUUCUCAACUAGAGUGUGAGCGCCAGGAGGACCGAACCGGGCACCAACAGGCUGAGCCAAUACGAGUGUGACCGUGGAGAAUCCGCAGUGGAAGCUGCAGCAGCCGACCUGCUGGCUGUGCCAGGCCACCGGAAAGUGACAGCGCGAGGGCAAUGUCGGGGCAACCAGGGCCUAAUCUCACUUUUCACUCCUAAAGUCAAAGAAGCUGAGGAAACAGGGACGGUGGGGGCACAGACACCUGCCUCAAAUUGUCUCUCCACUUAACUCACAAUGCUGCCAGGUCAGUAGC